UUUGGAUGUGGUGUUGUGAGCAGCUUCCACAGUUCUCACACUCGAGAUAAGUGGUGGCGCGGAAGAUAUCUGGUUCCACCUAAUGACGAUAAGGCUGCUUUUUGUUCUUCAACAUGCACGGUCUGGUAGACGAAGCCUCCGAAUGAGACUCUGGUCUACCACAGCGCAGCCUCAUUUCCCUGGUUCAUGGGAGAUGUCCGGCAAUCACAUGCCCCAUCAGAACCUCGUGAAGUAUCUUUCACUUUGUUCUGUUAACGGCACUUGCUAAUUAUUUGCUUCUUUCUGCAGGCCGACAACGCCGAGCUCUUUCAGCAGCAGCAGCACGACCACCACCACCUCUUCCCUACGUGGUGAAGACACAGCGAAUGAGGAAUCCGAAUCUUGGAGCCUUUGUUUUUUGUAUUGUUUCCUCUGUUCAUAUUCCUUGUUGCGAAAUAAACAUGUGCUUAUGA
Long non-coding RNA from Ornithodoros turicata, 452 nucleotides. RefSeq lists it as uncharacterized. The transcript has 3 exons. Lineage: Eukaryota; Metazoa; Arthropoda; Arachnida; Ixodida; Argasidae. The record is from RefSeq and is a predicted model, not a curated record.